RNAcentral lists this ribosomal RNA (447 nucleotides) under uncultured bacterium. Its description in RNAcentral is "bacterial SSU rRNA". It matches the Rfam family "Bacterial small subunit ribosomal RNA", at positions 479 to 920 of the family's 1533-position model. The record is from RNAcentral.
CAACAGAAGAAGCACCGGCUAACUACGUGCCAGCAGCCGACGGUAAUACGUAGGGUGCAAGCGUUAAAUCGGAAUUACUGGGGCGUAAAGGGUGCGCAGGCGGUUCUGUAAGUCAGAUGUGAAAAUCCCCCGGGGCUUAACCUGGGAACUGCGUUUGAAACUGCAGGGCUAGAGUGCGGCAGAGGGAGGUGGAAUUCCAUGUGUAGCAGUGAAAUGCGUAGAGAUAUGGAAGAACAUCGAUGGCGAAGGCAACCUCCUGGGCUAGCACUGACGCUCAUGCACGAAAGCGUGGGGAGCAAACAGGAUUAGAUACCCUGGUAGUCCACGCCCUAAACUAUGUCAACUAGUUGUCGGGUCUUAUUAGACUUGGUAACGUAGCUAACGCGUGAAGUUGACCGCCUGGGGAGUACGGUCGCAAGAUUAAAACUCAAAGGAAUUGACGGGGAC